UCUUAUCAGUUUAAUAUCUGAUACGUCCCCCGGGGACCAUGCAUAGAUUAAACUGAUUUUUGGAGCAGGGAGAUGGAAUAGCGGCUUGCUCCGUCCACUCCACGCAUCGACCUGGUAUUGCAGAACCUCCAGGAACGGUGC
RNAcentral lists this small nuclear RNA (141 nucleotides) under Gambusia affinis (western mosquitofish). Its description in RNAcentral is "U2 spliceosomal RNA (ENSGAFG00000002081.1)". It matches the Rfam family "U2 spliceosomal RNA", at positions 44 to 185 of the family's 192-position model. Rfam says of the family: U2 is a small nuclear RNA (snRNA) component of the spliceosome (involved in pre-mRNA splicing). Complementary binding between U2 snRNA (in an area lying towards the 5' end but 3' to hairpin I) and the branchpoint sequence (BPS) of the intron results the bulging out of an unpaired adenosine, on the BPS, which initiates a nucleophilic attack at the intronic 5' splice site, thus starting the first of two transesterification reactions that mediate splicing. The record is from RNAcentral. Lineage: Eukaryota; Metazoa; Chordata; Actinopteri; Cyprinodontiformes; Poeciliidae.